UACAUGUGGGGCAAGCGUUGUUCGGAAUUACUGGGCAUAAAGGGUGCGUAGGCGGUUUGUUAAGUCAUUGGUGAAAGUUUUCGGCCCAACCGGAAAAUGGCCUGUGAUACUGGCGAACUUGAGUGCGUGAGGGGUGGGGGAACGAGCAGUGUAGCGGUGAAAUGCGUAGAUAUCGAGAGGAACACCUGCGGCGAAGGCGGGUUGCUGGGCUGAUACUGACGCUGAGGCGCGAAAGCCAGGGAGCGAACGGG
RNAcentral lists this ribosomal RNA (251 nucleotides) under uncultured bacterium. RNAcentral describes it as "partial 16S ribosomal RNA". It matches the Rfam family "Bacterial small subunit ribosomal RNA", at positions 524 to 776 of the family's 1533-position model. The record is from RNAcentral.